CACUACCUGAGGUGUUCGCUCGCUGGUUACGUCCCUGAGCCGAUAUCUAAAACCUUUUGAGUCUGAAAUUCCAUUAUUGGUGAGCAUGCUCGCUUGUUCGAGAAGCCUAAAAAUAAUUAUUUUGACUCCCUUGAACCUUAUGGUUCAGGACCACUCCGGUAACGGCACUUCGGGUACUUU
This 180-nucleotide non-coding RNA is filed under the name Phocoenobacter uteri. RNAcentral describes it as "6S / SsrS RNA". It matches the Rfam family "6S / SsrS RNA". From Rfam's summary of the family: E. coli 6S RNA was the first non coding RNA to be sequenced, but its function was unknown until recently. It consists of 184 nucleotides that fold into an extended hairpin structure with a large single-stranded internal bulge. Lineage: Bacteria; Pseudomonadati; Pseudomonadota; Gammaproteobacteria; Pasteurellales; Pasteurellaceae. The record is from Rfam by way of RNAcentral.